CUUAAUAUAAUUUUUAUUGAGGGUUUACUAGUCUCUAGCACAUUCUUUAAUUGUAACAUAUAUUUAACAUAUCUAAAAUAAGCUAUCAUGCAUCAUAGCUAUCUCAUAGCAUGUAUAAAUCAUAAGCAACUAAUUAACAUGCUUCAACAUAUCUUCAUAUGGAAAAUUUCAUAUCACGACAUUUUAUUACAUAUCAUAUCAUAUAUGAAUCAUAUAUUUCAGCAUUUCAUUAAGCAUAU
RNAcentral lists this long non-coding RNA (239 nucleotides) under Phoenix dactylifera (date palm). RNAcentral describes it as "long non-coding RNA (PDAC_LNC021463)". The record is from RNAcentral. Lineage: Eukaryota; Viridiplantae; Streptophyta; Magnoliopsida; Arecales; Arecaceae.